GUUGAUAACUAGCUGCACUAGGCUGUUCCUCCAAAAGCUGAAGUAAAAAGAAGUUAUUUCAGUCAAUCAUGAUAUUUCCUGGUUUUAUCAGUUGAAGCUGGAUACAUCCUAAUCAAAAUUGUAGAAAUGCUGAGAGGAAAAAUGGACUCCUUCACCACCCCUGUGAGAACUUCAGACUUUGUUUUAGCUCCGAGGGCCUUCGACCACUAAUGAAGGAAGUGCUACAUCAGCGACAGGAGGAGGAGGGAGCAGUUGAGGGGAGCUCUUUGGCCCAGAUGUUGAGGGAUACGCUGGAACCCAUUCCUGAAACCCAAACGUUUAUGAGGCAGCUCAAGAAGUGUGAUGGCCUCUUGUUGUCCAUCCCUCUGGAGGAAGGGACCAUGGCUUAUGGGAGUCAAUGGUGGACAAGGUGAAUGGAAAAGACAUUGCUCAGGUAAAUGAACAAUUAAGCAGUGACGGUUGAGACUUAAGGAUGGGGUGUAAUGGGGUUAGUAACCGACCCAGGGUUGCAUAAAUCUAAAAACAAGCAGUGGGGGGCUUACCUCUACUUUUCUUUUCUGAAAAACUCUGGACAGCUCGACGAUGCCUUUCUAGAGACCUUUUGGAACUUACACAUUGGUAGCCCUGUGGGAGUAAAUAUAUCAUGCAUAAGCUGUUUUUGCUUGUGUUUGAGACACAGAUCUCAAGAAGAAAAUCUGGAAAAGGACAAAAAGGAAGAAUGAACCAGCUCAGACUCCCUAAUGGUAGGGGUCAUGGUGUACAUUUUCACAGGUGGCUGUAAAAGGUCGUGUUAAAUCAGGCGAUUAAUAAAACUUGUUCAAAUUUGUCAAUAUGAAUGUGUCCCCUCCACACUCGGUAGAAACAGACUUAUUUUCCCUUUAUCCGCAUCGCUCUGCUUCAUGUAUGUUAGGUACCUUUGAAGCAUGGCACUGUAAAGUUUAGCCUUUUUGUAUUCGGAUAAGUCAGUCCUUUGAAGAACAGACUUCAUUUAAGCAUCCAGUAAGCGAGUUGUGGUCCUUCUCAUAUUUUCCUCCAACGGAGGGGGAGCCCUUAAUUGCUCCAACUGGCGGCUGGGCACCAGGUACAUUUUUUUCUGCAUACUCCAUUGUUGAUUAGUCAAA
Molecule: long non-coding RNA, 1121 nt
Organism: Mauremys reevesii (Reeves's turtle)
Lineage: Eukaryota; Metazoa; Chordata; Testudines; Geoemydidae
Exons: 3
Source: RefSeq, a predicted model, not a curated record